Molecule: non-coding RNA, 1719 nt
Organism: Chlorocebus sabaeus (green monkey)
Lineage: Eukaryota; Metazoa; Chordata; Mammalia; Primates; Cercopithecidae
Source: RefSeq, a predicted model, not a curated record
UUCUAGAAAUCUUUUUUUCUACUUAAAUCUGCAAGAUUGUAGAGGGAGUAGUCAUUGUUAUAGUAUAACCCUGCCUCUGGUCACAGUUGAUUGGUUUAAAGGAAAACACUUGACCCAACCAAGACUAAUUAGUCCUGUGUUGGUUUGAAAAUAUAUCUGUGAGAGGCGUUUGAAUCAGAGUGACUCCAUCUUGAGUGAGGGCUGGAAAAUGAGGCUGGGACCUGCUGGUCUGCAUCCUCAGGAAGUUUGGCAUUCUGAGCCUCUAGAUGUUUACGGUUAAGGGAACAAAUUAAUAAUGUUUACUAAACAGAUCCAGACUUGGGAGUGUCCAUAUAUCCUGAUAUCUGGAGAACAUAGGCAUUUCUAAUUUUGCUUUAAAGAUAGUAAUAUAGAUUCUUGCAAAAUAUAGUUAUUAAGAAAAUUGAUCCUCUGUCACAAACCCUUAGAGCACAUCUCCCCAUAUAUACAAGCAUUGUACCUAGCGGGGAUGUGUUCCUCCUCUUACUUUCAGGAACAUCCUACUCUGUCUAUGGAGUAGCUGUCCUUUCACCACUUUACUUUCUUUGCUUUUACUUUGCACUGCAGACUCACCCUGAAUUCUUUCUUGCACGAGAUCCAAGAACCCUCUCUUGGGGUCUGUACUGGGACCGCUUUCCUGUAACAUAUUUCUGGCGUCCCAGAAGGGACUAUAGUGCGCAAACCACUGACUUUGGGUAAGCGGUGGGAUCCUGUAACAUAUUCACAGGUUCUUUGAUACUCCUUCCUUCAAAAAGUGAAGCUCUCCCUUUCAUAAAACGUGGGCUGACAGUCCUCAGCAUGGGGACGGCAGGAAGAUGAUGUAAAAGGCACGGAGGGGCUGGAGAGAGGCCAUGGCAACAGGGAGGGGAAUAGCAUGGGGCUGCACCAUGAGAGGAUGAUGGUGCAUUUCAUUGAGAUUGGAAGACUCUUGUUUCCCUCUCCCUCAACCUGUGGUCCUUCACUGGGGCCUUGCUUCCACUCUUGUCUCCCAAAUAGUUGAGUUCUGCACAGCAGCUGGGCUGAUCUUUAGGCAACAUUAUUCUUGUAUGCAACAUGCUUGAUUUGUUCCCCAUGAGGAACGUACUUUAUUCUUCCAUCUUCACAGGCAUGAAGGGUCUGAACCUCAUUAACUCCUUCAUUAAUACUCCUGGCUAUGAUGAUCUUAUCCUGACCAAACACCUUUUGUGCUUCUAACACGCCGAAACUGUAUCCAUUCAGGACCAUUUUUUAAAAAUGAAAAUGUUUUAUUAUAUCAAGCAAUAAAUACAUACAAAGAUUCAAAAAAAAAAAAAAAAAAAAACGUGGGCUGAACUUAGGGACUUGCUUUAACUUAAUAGAAUGAUGGUAUGUGAUGUCUGAGGCUGAUCAUAAGAGGGAUAGUUUCUGCCAGAUGUUUUCUGUCUUUUACAAAAAUAUUUAAAUAUUGAUUUAUUUAUUCUUUUCAAUCCAAAUCGGUUUCAGGCAAUGUUCUCUCUCCCAGAUCACUCCCUUCAGGUGAAGCCAACUGCCUUGUUGUGCAGAGGCUCCAGCCUUCUGUGGAGAGGCCCACAUGGAGAGGAUCUGCCUUCGCUAGCAGGAGCUUUACAGCCACAAGAUGAUUUCUGGCAUGGGAGACACUGAGCCAUACUCACCCAGCUAAGCUGCCCCUGGAUUCCUGACCUGCAAGACACGAAGUGAGAUAAUAAAUGGUCUUGUAAGCCU